RNAcentral lists this ribosomal RNA (253 nucleotides) under uncultured bacterium. Its description in RNAcentral is "partial 16S ribosomal RNA". It matches the Rfam family "Bacterial small subunit ribosomal RNA", at positions 524 to 776 of the family's 1533-position model. The record is from RNAcentral.
UACGUAGGGGGCUAGCGUUGUCCGGAAUCAUUGGGCGUAAAGAGCGCGUAGGCGGCCCGGUAAGUCCGCUGUGAAAGUCCAGGGCUCAACCCUGGAAUGCCAGUGGAAACUGUCGGGCUAGAGUCCGGAAGAGGCGAGUGGAAUUCCUGGUGUAGCGGUGAAAUGCGCAGAUAUCAGGAGGAACACCAAUGACGAAGGCAGCUCGCUGGGACGUGACUGACGCUGAGACGCGAAAGCGUGGGGAGCAAACAGG